Molecule: ribosomal RNA, 254 nt
Filed under: uncultured microorganism
Description: partial 16S ribosomal RNA
Rfam family: Archaeal small subunit ribosomal RNA
Source: RNAcentral
CACCGGCGGCUCGAGUGGUGGCCACUUUUAUUGGGUCUAAAGCGUCCGUAGCCGGCUUGGCAAGUCCCCUGGGAAAUCUGGCGGCUUAACCGUCAGGCGUCCAGAAGAUACUGCCAGGCUUGGGACCGGGAGAGGUGAGAGGUACCUCAGGGGUAGGGGUGAAAUCUUGUGAUCCCUGAGGGACCACCAGUGGCGAAGGCGUCUCACUAGAACGGGUCCGACGGUCAGGGACGAAAGCUGGGGGCACGAACCGG